GUCACAGGAAACUUUACUCGUCGAUCCAAGUAAAUCUCGUGCGGCUUUUGCAUUCAAAGCCGUUCGAGAUUUACUUAAAUCGAUGGUAAAUAUCUUCGUU
Molecule: microRNA precursor, 100 nt
Filed under: Manduca sexta (tobacco hornworm)
Lineage: Eukaryota; Metazoa; Arthropoda; Insecta; Lepidoptera; Sphingidae
Description: microRNA mse-mir-2767 precursor
Rfam family: mir-2767 microRNA precursor family (bases 13-90)
Source: miRBase by way of RNAcentral